This 528-nucleotide ribosomal RNA is filed under the name Triticum aestivum (bread wheat). Its description in RNAcentral is "partial small subunit ribosomal RNA". The record is from RNAcentral. Lineage: Eukaryota; Viridiplantae; Streptophyta; Magnoliopsida; Poales; Poaceae.
AUGGCAGCAAAAAUUUGGUUAGUUCCAGCAAACAUCAAAGACGGUGGUAGCAAAUUGAUACACUGGUUCCAGCAAAUACAAAACGUGGUAGCAAAAAAUUUGGUUGGUUUCAAACAGAAAUGGAAGAUGCUGGUAGCAAAAAUUCGAGCUGGUUCCAGCAAAAUCAAAUCAUGGUUCCAACAAAAAAAAUGUCGCCCGAUCUCCCUGCACUUGUCGCCGUGGUUCAGCAUCGCCGCACAGCCACCGCCGCGCUGGUUCCAGCGCCUUCACCGGCUGGUUGCAGCAAAAACGGCAGCUAGUUCCAGCAUCACCGUCUCCCCGGGGUGCACCCCGUCACUGCGGUUGCAGCACACGGAGCAUCCCCCGGUCGCCGUCGCCCGCAGUGCGUCUUCACGCACACCCGUCCUCCACGAAUUGCAGUGCGUGGUCACCGCCGUGGUAGCACCCCAGUCUCAUGGUUGCAGCACGUGGUGCACCUCCGUCUCGCAUCAUGGUGGUCAUGCCAUGGCUUGUGGCAGGAUUGAGUGA